GGGUUGUGAGGUUAAGCGACUAAGCGUACACGGUGGAUGCCCUGGCAGUCAGAGGCGAUGAAGGACGUGCUAAUCUGCGAUAAGCGUCGGUAAGGUGAUAUGAACCGUUAUAACCGGCGAUUUCCGAAUGGGGAAACCCAGUGUGAUUCGUCACACUAUCAUUAACUGAAUCCAUAGGUUAAUGAGGCGAACCGGGGGAACUGAAACAUCUAAGUACCCCGAGGAAAAGAAAUCAACCGAGAUUCCCCCAGUAGCGGCGAGCGAACGGGGAGCAGCCCAGAGCCUGAAUCAGUGUGUGUGUUAGUGGAAGCGUCUGGAAAGGCGCGCGAUACAGGGUGACAGCCCCGUACACAAAAAUGCACAUGCUGUGAGCUCGAUGAGUAGGGCGGGACACGUGGUAUCCUGUCUGAAUAUGGGGGGACCAUCCUCCAAGGCUAAAUACUCCUGACUGACCGAUAGUGAACCAGUACCGUGAGGGAAAGGCGAAAAGAACCCCGGCGAGGGGAGUGAAAAAGAACCUGAAACCGUGUACGUACAAGCAGUGGGAGCAUGCUUAGGCGUGUGACUGCGUACCUUUUGUAUAAUGGGUCAGCGACUUAUAUUCUGUAGCAAGGUUAACCGAAUAGGGGAGCCGAAGGGAAACCGAGUCUUAACUGGGCGUUAAGUUGCAGGGUAUAGACCCGAAACCCGGUGAUCUAGCCAUGGGCAGGUUGAAGGUUGGGUAACACUAACUGGAGGACCGAACCGACUAAUGUUGAAAAAUUAGCGGAUGACUUGUGGCUGGGGGUGAAAGGCCAAUCAAACCGGGAGAUAGCUGGUUCUCCCCGAAAGCUAUUUAGGUAGCGCCUCGUGAAUUCAUCUCCGGGGGUAGAGCACUGUUUCGGCAAGGGGGUCAUCCCGACUUACCAACCCGAUGCAAACUGCGAAUACCGGAGAAUGUUAUCACGGGAGACACACGGCGGGUGCUAACGUCCGUCGUGAAGAGGGAAACAACCCAGACCGCCAGCUAAGGUCCCAAAGUCAUGGUUAAGUGGGAAACGAUGUGGGAAGGCCCAGACAGCCAGGAUGUUGGCUUAGAAGCAGCCAUCAUUUAAAGAAAGCGUAAUAGCUCACUGGUCGAGUCGGCCUGCGCGGAAGAUGUAACGGGGCUAAACCAUGCACCGAAGCUGCGGCAGCGACGCUGAUGCGUUGUUGGGUAGGGGAGCGUUCUGUAAGCCUGUGAAGGUGUGCUGUGAGGCAUGCUGGAGGUAUCAGAAGUGCGAAUGCUGACAUAAGUAACGAUAAAGCGGGUGAAAAGCCCGCUCGCCGGAAGACCAAGGGUUCCUGUCCAACGUUAAUCGGGGCAGGGUGAGUCGACCCCUAAGGCGAGGCCGAAAGGCGUAGUCGAUGGGAAACAGGUUAAUAUUCCUGUACUUGGUGUUACUGCGAAGGGGGGACGGAGAAGGCUAUGUUGGCCGGGCGACGGUUGUCCCGGUUUAAGCGUGUAGGCUGGUUUUCCAGGCAAAUCCGGAAAAUCAAGGCUGAGGCGUGAUGACGAAGCACUACGGUGCUGAAGCAACAAAUGCCCUGCUUCCAGGAAAAGCCUCUAAGCAUCAGGUAACAUCAAAUCGUACCCCAAACCGACACAGGUGGUCAGGUAGAGAAUACCAAGGCGCUUGAGAGAACUCGGGUGAAGGAACUAGGCAAAAUGGUGCCGUAACUUCGGGAGAAGGCACGCUGAUAUGUAGGUGAAGUCCCUUGCGGAUGGAGCUGAAAUCAGUCGAAGAUACCAGCUGGCUGCAACUGUUUAUUAAAAACACAGCACUGUGCAAACACGAAAGUGGACGUAUACGGUGUGACGCCUGCCCGGUGCCGGAAGGUUAAUUGAUGGGGUCAGCGCAAGCGAAGCUCUUGAUCGAAGCCCCGGUAAACGGCGGCCGUAACUAUAACGGUCCUAAGGUAGCGAAAUUCCUUGUCGGGUAAGUUCCGACCUGCACGAAUGGCGUAAUGAUGGCCAGGCUGUCUCCACCCGAGACUCAGUGAAAUUGAACUCGCUGUGAAGAUGCAGUGUACCCGCGGCAAGACGGAAAGACCCCGUGAACCUUUACUAUAGCUUGACACUGAACAUUGAGCCUUGAUGUGUAGGAUAGGUGGGAGGCUUUGAAGUGUGGACGCCAGUCUGCAUGGAGCCG
This 2171-nucleotide ribosomal RNA is filed under the name Escherichia coli. RNAcentral's name for it is "bacterial LSU rRNA". It matches the Rfam family "Bacterial large subunit ribosomal RNA", at positions 1 to 2188 of the family's 2925-position model. The record is from RNAcentral. Lineage: Bacteria; Pseudomonadati; Pseudomonadota; Gammaproteobacteria; Enterobacterales; Enterobacteriaceae.